Non-coding RNA from Cheilinus undulatus (humphead wrasse), 519 nucleotides. The record is from the annotation of a RefSeq genome assembly. Lineage: Eukaryota; Metazoa; Chordata; Actinopteri; Labriformes; Labridae.
AGUGAGUCAGAUCAUUUCCAUGUAGAGCCACUUUGCAUCAGCAGCUCCAUGCUCCAGUGCUCUGGGAGAGUUUAUAGUCCUGACACUUGAACACUGGAUGACUGACAGCUGUCCUUCAUCACAACACAACACACACAAAUCCUCCUCCUUAUCACAAACAUGACCCUGAUCUGCGUCUUCAUCUGGACUCUCCUCUGCUGCUGCUUCACAGAGUCCAGAGGACAGGUCACAGUGACUCAGCCUGCAGCAGUGAGCUCUGCUCUGGGAGCCUCCGUCACCAUCCCAUGCAGAGUCAGUCAGAAUGUUCAUGGCAAUAACCAUUUAGCCUGGUACCAACAGAAAGAUGGAGGGACUCCUAAACUUCUCUUUUACCAUGCAAACACUCGAGCAACAGGAACUCCAGGUCGUUUUUCAGGCAGUGGAUCACACUCUGACUUCACUCUGACCAUCAGUGGAGUCCAGACUGAAGAUGCAGCAGUUUACUACUGUCAGAGUGUACAUGUUAUCAACAGUCAGUAG